GCGCCCGUAGCUUAAUGGAUAGAGCAUCUGACUACGGAUCAGAAGGUUGGGGGUUCGAGUCCCUCCGGGCGCG
RNAcentral lists this transfer RNA (73 nucleotides) under Ruania alba. RNAcentral describes it as "Haloactinobacterium album tRNA_Arg_ACG". It matches the Rfam family "tRNA". Rfam says of the family: Transfer RNA (tRNA) molecules are approximately 80 nucleotides in length. Their secondary structure includes four short double-helical elements and three loops (D, anti-codon, and T loops). RNAcentral also lists the same sequence under 13 other names. The record is from RNAcentral. Lineage: Bacteria; Bacillati; Actinomycetota; Actinomycetes; Micrococcales; Ruaniaceae.